Molecule: ribosomal RNA, 460 nt
Filed under: uncultured bacterium
Lineage: Bacteria
Description: partial 16S ribosomal RNA
Rfam family: Bacterial small subunit ribosomal RNA
Source: RNAcentral
CCUACGGGUGGCAGCAGUGAGGAAUAUUGGUCAAUGGGCGCAAGCCUGAACCAGCCAAGUCGCGUGAAGGAUGACUGCCCUCCGGGUUGUAAACUUCUUUUAUAAAGGAAUAAAGUGAGGCACGUGAGCCUUUUUGUAUGUCCUUUAUGAAUAAGGAUCGGCUAACUCCGUGCCAUCAGCCGCGGUAAUACGGAGGAUCCGAGCGUUAUCCGGAUUUAUUUGUUUUACAGGUAUCGUAGAUGGGUUGUUAAGUCAGUUGUGAAAGGUCGCGGCUCAACCGGAAAAUUGCAAUUGAGACGGGCAGCCUUGAGUACAGUUGAGGUAGGCGGAAUUCGUGGUGUAGCGGUGAAAGGCUUAGAUAUCACGAAGAACUCCGAUUGCGAAGGCAGCUUACGAAACUGCAACUGACAUUGAGGCUCGAAAGUGUGGGUAUCAAACAGGAUUAGAUACCCCAGUAGUC